AGGGAAAACGGCGUAAGGGGAGGCAAUCAACAGUAUUUACCAGGCUUUCCCUUGCAGAUUGACACCAUAGGGAGUUGCCUAGCUGGCCUACUCCUUCAUCCAGCUCUAGUUGUGCAUACAGCCCCUCCCCAACCUCAGGACUGUUUCCAAAGUAAGAAGUAAAUGCCUUCAGGGGUCUGCCAGUGAAGGUUAAUGUCUAGGCAUCUUGUGUUUGUUGCCUGUUAAGGGAGCCUCUUGCUACUUUGCAUUCUACUUGUUUCUGGAGCUGAAGCAACACUGCUUAAAAGGAUUAAUUUGGCUGGUGCUCCAGAGAAUUUGGAAGGAAAACCUAAACUGAUAAAAAUAAGGAGGAGGAGGAUGUUACUGCAGUGAACUGGGUUCUUUUAACAAUUUAUUCCACGUAUUGUUUGAGAAAGGCCAUGUGUUCUCAAUGAAGUGAGAUCGCCACAUGUUGUCUCAGUGUGUCACCACUCAAGCAGAGGGAGAAUUGUGUCCAUUGUUAAGAAGUGGAAAUUGCCAGAGAUGAAGACUUAAAAGAAAAAAUGCCCCUGGGGUUCUCAUUCAGCCAUUCAGAUUUCUUGUGCUGUUAAUACAUGCCAAGCAAUGUGUUAUGGAUUCAGAACUGAAAGCCAUAAUCUUUUUCUUAUAAUCAGCUAAAAAAUCUAGUGGGAAAGAUAUAAAAAUAAAUAAUCACUAAUAAAACAAUGUGACAAGUAGUGGUUAAUUAGGGAAACUACAGAGUCUAAAAGAAUACAUAGGAUAUGUUUGGUAGAACAGGCGGGUGAGGACAUUUCAAAUUGAGCAGUGUUUCUGAGAGAAGUAUCUUUCUUUCUUUCUUUCUUUCUUUCUUUUUCUUUCUUUUUCUUUCUUUCGUUCUUUCUCUUUCAUUAUUACUCACCUAAGGAAAUUUUUCAGAGCCUUGUUCUAAACACUAGCACUUGCUCCCAAUAAAAUGUCAAUACCACAGAUAUAUUGAAUGUCCCUAUAUGUAUGGUGGUCUGUUGAAGAGCUACAAACCUCUGUAAUAUCUACAGCUUUUUCAUCCUCUAACAAACAAUUUUUAUCUGUUUGUGGCAAUAUGACCCCCACUGAGAAUGCCUGACAUUGUAGUACUAGCAUGCCUAGAUCUUGUCAAGUAACUUCAUUUCCCUAGGGUCAAUUUUGGCAAACUUUUUGUGCCAGAGUGGCCUCACAUUGUUUUCCCUUCCUUGAUUUCAGCUAUUUUUUAAAAUCUGAUUAUGGCUUAAAGAUUGCAACUAACUGGCAUUUGGGGUUAUACCUCUGCAUUUAGUAGGCUGAGUUACUUCUGCAAGUAAGAGAAAAGUAAAAACAGUGGUUUCCACAAGUUUGUUGCUCACUCUGGGAGUAUGACUCCUCUGUUCAGUGCUGUCUGGAAGGAUCCCAGACUACUUUCAGUUACACUGCUUUGCCAACUCUAGGAAGUGGCCCUUGUCCAAGUUGGCUUCUACAGCCUACAUAGCAGGAGGAAGGAACAUAGAAGUAGGGAGAUGAUCAUGUGACAGCUGCCUCUUAAGGGAGGUAUCUAGAAAGCUGCCACAUUGCACUCUGACUUAUAGCCCAUUUGGCCAGGGUUUAGUCACAUGCCCACACCUGGCUAUGCAGGAGAUUGGAUAUUGUCAUCUUUAUUCUGGUGGCCAUGUGCCCAGCUGAAAUGGAAGAAUGAGGGAAUGGAUAUUGGAGGACUACCAGUGCUCUUGUUAGUUUCCUUGCUAAAGACUUUUGCUUUAAAGAAAUUAUUUUUGCUAGACAAAUAAAAGUGUAACAUUUACUGAAAUUAAAAUAAAAUAUAUUAAAAUGAUCUGCAGUCUAACACGUAACAGAUUAAACUGCUUUCAUAGUUUUCCACCAUAAAAUUCUUAUCUAGGCAUGAUUUUUAUAUUGUUACAAUUAGCAGUCAGAUAUAAUUGUUUCUUUUUCAGUUUGUGUUAUAAGUAGUAUUCUAGGUUGUUAUAUAAUCCUCAUAAUUUUAAGGGCUUUAGAGAUGCUGCAAUAAACAUUUUCAUGUAUAUUAACUUUUCCUUGUGUAGGAUAAUUUUCUUUAUCUAUGUGUCUACCAAAAGUAGGGUAAUUGGAUCAAAGGCUAUGAUAAUUUUGCAUGUCUUGAAACACAAGAAAAAAAUAUUUUUCCAAAAAGAAUCUUCCAAUUUUGUCAUUUUGUUUCAUUAGUGAUUGUUUAUUUUUCAUCACUUUUAUUAGUUAGAUAUGACACUGUCUGCUUGAUUACCAAAUAUUCUUAUUUUACGCAUUUAAAAAGCCACAUUACUCUUAUUUCAAUGUGUUCUUUUGAUAACUGGCAGAGUUGAACAUUUAUACAUAUAUAUUAAAUAUUAUCUUACCAACUUUAAUUCCAAUUACUCAUAUACUUUCUUCAAAUGUUAGUAUUAUUUUAAAUACCAAUUUGUACAAGAUUUCUAUGCAAUAUAGAUAUGGUCUUUGGAAUGUAAAAUUUGCUGUAGAUAUGUGUCUAAAUCUGUUUUCUAGUUAUUAUAAAAUCAUUAUUAUUAUCAUUCCACUGAUCUUUCUUCCCUCAUAUUCUCUGUCAAAAUGCAUUCUUCAGGAAAUAAAAAAUUAAAGGACUAGUCAAAAUACAUGUCAAACACCAAUGAAAAGCAAAUGUUAGCUCAAACAUUGCUUAGCCAAGGAAACGUUUAUUUUAAUAAAUUUUCCUCUCUGAUUAGUUUUCUCUUGAACACUGCUAAAAUAAACGCACACACACAAAAUCAAUGUUCAGGAUUUUCUGAUUAUUUGCUGUGAUUGUGUGGUUUAAUCCAUUUGAAACUAGAAGAACAUAGUGCUGUUCACACUCCGCUGGAGGAAACACAAUUUCACAGUUUGGUUCCCAGCACUGCCUUGCAGGGCUGCUAUCGUAAUAUGUUUCUAGCUCUGGACAUGCAAGCACAAGUCUCUCACUUUGGCUUCUCAAUGGGGAAGGAGAGAAACACUAGAGGAAACAGCAAUUAGAUCAAUAUAUAAUAAUACAAAAGCUACAGAAUUGUUCCCCA
Molecule: long non-coding RNA, 3023 nt
Filed under: Homo sapiens (human)
Lineage: Eukaryota; Metazoa; Chordata; Mammalia; Primates; Hominidae
Description: HSALNT0057225
Source: RNAcentral